CCUGCGGCGGGGCGUGGCGUACGUCACUGAACCCGUAGUGCUGCGAGUGUGGGUUGUGGGGUGUAACGCUGCGCAGUACCAACACCGAAACGACAGGAUGGGCAGCGGCGGCGGCUCGGUCGGCUGUGUGUUCUGGGGCCUCAUCUGGCUGCUGGUCCUGUUCUUUUUCGGCUUCUGGCUCGCCGGCUUCUGCGCCUGCUGGUACAUCCUCAUCGUGCCGCUCACGGUCUGCAUCGAUGGCCUAUCGGGGUUGACUGACACGCUGAUGCGAGGCGUGCAGUUUCCGAAGACCUGUGCCGAGAACAUGAUGUCAGGCCGGCCUCUCUGCUAGCUGGAGGUCCAGCACAUCCCGACGCGGCGCGGCUCGCCGAAAGGACGCCACGCUCUGCCUGGAGAGCGACCGCCUGCACCGCGUGCUGCCACCCGCUUCAAGCCGGAUGUGUCUGAAGCUUGAUGCCAGCACCUGUUAGUCGGCACGUCGAUUUAUUUUUGUUAGUCGGCAAGUCGGUCGGCUUAUUUUUCCCGGGCGACUUACAGCCGGUUGAAUGGCGUAACGGCUUAGAAAAACCGUUACCCGCACGGAUAAAGAUAAGAGACUUUCCGAAAUAUAUUUGCAUAACGAGAGUGAGCGCAGGAAGAAUUGAGUAAAACGAGGAACGCGACAAUAGAUGAGUCAGAUCGAGACGUAGGGCGACUAAAAUAAGAAAACACUAUGCUCGCAGCGCGCAACGUCCAACCACAUUCAUAAUCCACGUAGACGGGACCCAUGUCAUCCGUGGCUGUUGCCGCAGGACAGCGCGGUUGCGCCGCACACUUCUCACAUGGCGCAGUGGAGGGUAUCGAGGGAAUGCUCGAAAGGGGACAACGCGUCCGCGCACCCUAUUUGUGUCAGGCCCGCGCACGGUGUGUUGUCACCGCUCUGCUUGUUACCAUUACGCGGACUGGUCACUCCGUAAUAAUGUUUUACGAAGUUCGGCCUAGAGCUCUACGCUUUUCUUACGCCUCCUAGGUGUAAGAUUGCUGUCGGUUAACAUAAAAUGUUGACUGAUUGGUUCAUCAUGGAAGGGAUGAGAGUUUUGAUCUGUUAUAUUUUACACGGAAUAUGCAGAGGAUGUAAUAUGUCAUUAUCGAGUAGGUUUUCAUGAAAGAUAUUUUUUGCGCGUUUUUAUGACCAGGAGAGUAUGUGACCAGGCUACGACCUCUGAAUGUGCACUAUCUACUCGCGGCGACACAUGUGUUGGCAGCAGUGCGGUCGUGUGUAAAUAGUGCGCAACACACAGGGACCUGAUGAAUUGGAUAUUAGACAAUAAUACGAGGCUAAUUAAGUUGCUUGGAAUACCAAGACGCAUUA
Molecule: long non-coding RNA, 1351 nt
Organism: Pollicipes pollicipes
Lineage: Eukaryota; Metazoa; Arthropoda; Thecostraca; Pollicipedomorpha; Pollicipedidae
Exons: 3
Source: RefSeq, a predicted model, not a curated record